This 596-nucleotide ribosomal RNA is filed under the name uncultured Gammaproteobacteria bacterium. RNAcentral describes it as "bacterial SSU rRNA". It matches the Rfam family "Bacterial small subunit ribosomal RNA", at positions 76 to 671 of the family's 1533-position model. The record is from RNAcentral. Lineage: Bacteria; Pseudomonadati; Pseudomonadota; Gammaproteobacteria.
UAGCUUGCUACUUUGCUGACGAGCGGCGGACGGGUGAGUAAUGCUUGGGAACAUGCCUUGAGGUGGGGGACAACAGUUGGAAACGACUGCUAAUACCGCAUAAUGUCUACGGACCAAAGGGGGCUUCGGCUCUCGCCUUUAGAUUGGCCCAAGUGGGAUUAGCUAGUUGGUGAGGUAAUGGCUCACCAAGGCGACGAUCCCUAGCUGGUUUGAGAGGAUGAUCAGCCACACUGGGACUGAGACACGGCCCAGACUCCUACGGGAGGCAGCAGUGGGGAAUAUUGCACAAUGGGCGCAAGCCUGAUGCAGCCAUGCCGCGUGUGUGAAGAAGGCCUUCGGGUUGUAAAGCACUUUCAGUCAGGAGGAAAGGUUAGUAGUUAAUACCUGCUAGCUGUGACGUUACUGACAGAAGAAGCACCGGCUAACUCCGUGCCAGCAGCCGCGGUAAUACGGAGGGUGCGAGCGUUAAUCGGAAUUACUGGGCGUAAAGCGUACGCAGGCGGUUUGUUAAGCGAGAUGUGAAAGCCCCGGGCUCAACCUGGGAACUGCAUUUCGAACUGGCAAACUAGAGUGUGAUAGAGGGUGGUAGAAUUUCA